CUUGGUCAUUUAGAGGAAGUAAAAGUCGUAACAAGGUCUCCGUAGGUGAACCUGCGGAGGGAUCAUUACAAGUGACCCCGGUCUAACCACCGGGAUGUUCAUAACCCUUUGUUGUCCGACUCUGUUGCCUCCGGGGCGACCCUGCCUUCGGGCGGGGGCUCCGGGUGGACACUUCAAACUCUUGCGUAACUUUGCAGUCUGAGUAAACUUAAUUAAUAAAUUAAAACUUUUAACAACGGAUCUCUUGGUUCUGGCAUCGAUGAAGAACGCAGCGAAAUGCGAUAAGUAAUGUGAAUUGCAGAAUUCAGUGAAUCAUCGAAUCUUUGAACGCACAUUGCGCCCCCUGGUAUUCCGGGGGGCAUGCCUGUUCGAGCGUCAUUAUCACCCCUCAAGCUCAGCUUGGUGUUGGGGCCUGCCCGUCACAGGGCAGCCCUUAAAAGCAGUGGCGGUGCCAUCUGGCUCUACGCGUAGUAAUACUCCUCGCGACAGAGUCCCGGUGGUGUCCUGCCAGAACCCCCCAUAUUUUUAAUGAUUGACCUCGGAUCAGGUAGGGAUACCCGCUGAACUUAAGCAUAUCAAUAAGCGGAGGAAAAGAAACCAACAGGGAUUGCCUCAGUAACGGCGAGUGAAGCGGCAAAAGCUCAAAUUUGAAAUCUGGCUCUUUCAGGGUCCGAGUUGUAAUUUGUAGAAGAUGCUUUGGGUGUGGCUCUGGUUUAAGUUCUUUGGAAUAUUACAUCAUAGAGGGUGAGAAUCCCGUAUGUGACCAGUCGCCGCGCCCGUGUAAAGCUCUUUCAACGAGUCGAGUUGUUUGGGAAU
This 816-nucleotide small RNA is filed under the name uncultured Chalara. RNAcentral describes it as "eukaryotic LSU rRNA". The stretch from base 534 to 816 matches the Rfam family "Eukaryotic large subunit ribosomal RNA", at positions 1 to 281 of the family's 3401-position model. Lineage: Eukaryota; Fungi; Ascomycota; Leotiomycetes; Helotiales. The record is from RNAcentral.